RNAcentral lists this ribosomal RNA (429 nucleotides) under Pseudomonadota bacterium. RNAcentral's name for it is "Proteobacteria bacterium partial 16S ribosomal RNA". It matches the Rfam family "Bacterial small subunit ribosomal RNA", at positions 355 to 776 of the family's 1533-position model. Lineage: Bacteria; Pseudomonadati; Pseudomonadota. The record is from RNAcentral.
UGGGGAAUAUUGGACAAUGGGCGAAAGCCUGAUCCAGCCAUGCCGCGGGUGUGAAGAAGGUCUUCGGAGUGUAAAGCACUUUAAGUUGGGAGGAAGGGCAGUAAGCGAAUACCUUGCUGUUUUGACGUUACCGACAGAAUAAGCACCGGCUAACUCGGUGCCAGCAGCCGCGGUAAUACAGAGGGUGCAAGCGUUAAUCGGAAUUACUGGGCGUAAAGCGCGCGUAGGUGGUUCGUUAAGUUGAAUGUGAAAGCCCCGGGCUCAACCUGGGAACUGCAUCCAAAACUGGCGAGCUAGAGUAGGGCAGAGGGUGGUGGAAUUUCCUGUGUAGCGGUGAAAUGCGUAGAUAUAGGAAGGAACACCAGUGGAGAAGGCGACAAACUGGGCUCAUACUGACACUGAGGUGCGAAAGCGUGGGGAGCAAACAGG